Molecule: ribosomal RNA, 478 nt
Filed under: Cryptosporidium parvum
Lineage: Eukaryota; Apicomplexa; Conoidasida; Eucoccidiorida; Cryptosporidiidae
Description: SSU rRNA
Rfam family: Eukaryotic small subunit ribosomal RNA
Source: RNAcentral
GGGGAAUUAGGGUUCGAUUCCGGAGAGGGAGCCUGAGAAACGGCUACCACAUCUAAGGAAGGCAGCAGGCGCGCAAAUUACCCAAUCCUAAUACAGGGAGGUAGUGACAAGAAAUAACAAUACAGGACUUUUUGGUUUUGUAAUUGGAAUGAGUUAAGUAUAAACCCCUUUACAAGUAUCAAUUGGAGGGCAAGUCUGGUGCCAGCAGCCGCGGUAAUUCCAGCUCCAAUAGCGUAUAUUAAAGUUGUUGCAGUUAAAAAGCUCGUAGUUGGAUUUCUGUUAAUAAUUUGUAUAAAAUAUUUUGAAUAUUUAUAUAACAUUAACAUAAUUCAUAUUACUAUAUUUUUCAGUAUAUGAAAUUUUACUUUGAGAAAAUUAGAGUGCUUAAAGCAGGCAUAUGCCUUGAAUACUCCAGCAUGGAAUAAUAUUAAAGAUUUUUAUCUUUUUUAUUGGUUCUAAGAUAAGAAUAAUGAUAAUG